Molecule: ribosomal RNA, 261 nt
Filed under: uncultured archaeon
Lineage: Archaea
Description: partial 16S ribosomal RNA
Rfam family: Archaeal small subunit ribosomal RNA
Source: RNAcentral
CAGCCGUAAACUAUGCGCGUUAGGUGUAUCGGUGACCACGAGUUACCGAGGUGCCGAAGGGAAACCGUGAAACGUGCCGCCUGGGAAGUACGGUCGCAAGGCUGAAACUUAAAGGAAUUGGCGGGGGAGCACCACAACAGGUGGAGCCUGCGGUUUAAUUGGACUCAACGCCGGGAAGCUCACCGGGUAGGACAGCAGAAUGAUUGCCGGGCUGAAGACUCUACUUGAUGAUCUGAGAGGUGGUGCAUGGCGUCAGUGACU